RNAcentral lists this long non-coding RNA (503 nucleotides) under Helianthus annuus (common sunflower). RNAcentral's name for it is "sRNA HanXRQr2_Chr13g0567611". Lineage: Eukaryota; Viridiplantae; Streptophyta; Magnoliopsida; Asterales; Asteraceae. The record is from RNAcentral.
UGUGACAGCUUCAUUAUACGUUGCUUCGGUAGGUUUUACGCGUAAAUAAGAACCUGUCUUUGGUAUAUAAACAUAAUGAACUGCGUAACUUGUGUGGCACAUCUCUCGGAUAUAUGGUCUUGGUACCGUAAUUUCGUUUGAUAGAUUGCCGAGAACAAGAUGGAGAUCUUCUUCUGGUUCAGAUAUUCGGUCUUUAUGCUGCUUAUCAUCUGGGUAUCAUGGUUGUAUCUUUUACCGAAAAAUAACGGGGACGCAAGUCUAGAUCUUCCGUGAUACUAUACAUACGUGUACAUAUUACAUACUGCAUUCGACCUCAAUAAGUGAUAAACAAUCACAUGUCCAAACAAAUAAGUGAUAAAAUAUCACAUUUAUCCGGGAGUCAAGUUCGUCUCUCUGCUGUACGGAAGUACUGACCUGUUCACGGACUUGCUCCUGUGCCCUCAUGCAUAUGAAAAUCAAGUUCCUCAUCAAUAAGUGAUUAUAUCACAUAGGGCUUGUUUUCA